UACGGAGGGUGCGAGCGUUGUCCGGAAUCAUUGGGCGUAAAGGGCGCGUAGGCGGCCUGAUAAGUAGGGGGUGAAAUCCUGCGGCUUAACCGCAGGGCUGCCUUCUAAACUGUCAGGCUGGAGCACAGUAGAGGCAGGUGGAAUUCCCGGUGUAGCGGUGGAAUGCGUAGAGAUCGGGAAGAACAUCAGUGGCGAAGGCGGCCUGCUGGGCUGUUGCUGACGCUGAGGCGCGACAGCGUGGGGAGCAAACAGG
RNAcentral lists this ribosomal RNA (253 nucleotides) under uncultured bacterium. RNAcentral's name for it is "partial 16S ribosomal RNA". It matches the Rfam family "Bacterial small subunit ribosomal RNA", at positions 524 to 776 of the family's 1533-position model. The record is from RNAcentral.